UGGGGAAUAUUGCACAAUGGGCGAAAGCCCGAUGCAGCAACGCCGCGUGAGUGAUGAAGGCCUUCGGGUUGUAAAGCUCUGUCUUCUGGGACGAUAAUGACGGUACCAGAGGAGGAAGCCACGGCUAACUACGUGCCAGCAGCCGCGGUAAUACGUAGGUGGCAAGCGUUGUCCGGAUUUACUGGGCGUAAAGGAUGCGUAGGCGGAUACUUAAGUCAGAUGUGAAAAUCCCGGGCUUAACUUGGGAACUGCAUUUGAAACUGGGUAUCUAGAGUGCGGGAGAGGAGAGUGGAAUUCCUAGUGUAGCGGUGAAAUGCGUAGAGAUUAGGAAGAACACCAGUGGCGAAGGCGACUUUCUGGACCGUAACUGACGCUGAGGCAUGAAAGCGUGGGGAGCAAACA
RNAcentral lists this ribosomal RNA (402 nucleotides) under uncultured bacterium. Its description in RNAcentral is "bacterial SSU rRNA". It matches the Rfam family "Bacterial small subunit ribosomal RNA", at positions 355 to 774 of the family's 1533-position model. The record is from RNAcentral.